Molecule: ribosomal RNA, 475 nt
Filed under: uncultured bacterium
Lineage: Bacteria
Description: bacterial SSU rRNA
Rfam family: Bacterial small subunit ribosomal RNA
Source: RNAcentral
CUACGGCCCUGAACAUGGAUGGACCUGCGGUGCAUUAGCUAGUUGGUGAGGUAACGGCCCACCAAGGCGACGAUGCAUAGCCGACCUGAGAGGGCGAACGGCCACAUUGGGACUGAGACACGGCCCAAACUCCUACGGGAGGCAGCAGUAGGGAAUUUUCGUCAAUGGGGGGAACCCUGAACGAGCAAUGCCGCGUGAGUGAAGACGGUCUUCGGAUUGUAAAGCUCUGUUGCGAGAGAAAAACGACACGGAUAGGGAAUGAUCCGUGGGUGAUGGUAUCUCGCCAGAAAGUCACGGCUAACUACGUGCCAGCAGCCGCGGUAAUACGUAGGUGGCGAGCGUUAUCCGGAAUGAUUGGGCGUAAAGGGUGCGUAGGCGGCCCGUUAAGUCUGGAGUCAAAGCCGGCAGCUCAACUGUCGUACGCUUUGGAAACUGGCGGGCUGGAGUGCAGAAGAGGGCGAUGGAACUCCAUGUG